This 498-nucleotide ribosomal RNA is filed under the name uncultured bacterium. RNAcentral describes it as "partial 16S ribosomal RNA". It matches the Rfam family "Bacterial small subunit ribosomal RNA", at positions 28 to 523 of the family's 1533-position model. The record is from RNAcentral.
GAUGAACGCUAGCGGCAGGCCUAAUACAUGCAAGUCGGACGGGAUUUGGGAGCUUGCUCCUAAUGAGAGUGGCGCACGGGUGCGUAACACGUAUGUAACCUACCUUAAUCAGGGGGAUAGCCUCUCGAAAGAGAGAUUAACACCGCAUAAUAUAUUUUUAUGGCAUCGUAGAAAUAUCAAAUAUUUAUAGGAUUAAGAUGGGCAUGCGGAACAUUAGCUAGUUGGUAAGGUAACGGCUUACCAAGGCUACGAUGUUGAGGGGAUCUGAGAGGAUGACCCCCCACACUGGUACUGAGACACGGACCAGACUCCUACGGGAGGCAGCAGUAAGGAAUAUUGGUCAAUGGGCGCAAGCCUGAACCAGCCAUGCCGCGUGCAGGAAGACGGCCCUAUGGGUUGUAAACUGCUUUUGUACCGGAAUAAACCCUUUUACGUGUAAGAGGCUGAAUGUACGGUAAGAAUAAGGAUCGACUAACUCCGUGCCAGCAGCCGCCGUAA